ACUUGAAGGACGCAAAAACAAUAAAAUAAGGAAGCUUAUGUAUAUCGGAAAAUCAACUUUCGAACCAUAACACUGCUGAGAGCUUUUCGGAUAAAAUGAGUGGGAAAGUAGAGAAGAGUGUCGGCACUGAUAUCAAGGCGGAGUUUAUUUCUGGUUCGAGUGUUUUUUAUGCUGAUGAAUAAUGUGCAGGCAAAAUAAUAGUGUC
Caenorhabditis elegans is the source of this 205-nucleotide non-coding RNA. NCBI's taxonomy places the organism in Eukaryota, Metazoa, Nematoda, Chromadorea, Rhabditida, Rhabditidae. The record is from Ensembl.